AUUGAACGCUGGCGGCUGGCCUAACACAUGCAAGUCGAACGAGUGGCGGACGGGUGAGUAAUGUCUGGGAAACUGCCUGAUGGAGGGGGAUAACUACUGGAAAAGGUAGCUAAUACCGCAUACCAUCGGAUGUGCCCAGAUGGGAUUAGCUAGUAGGUGGGGUAAAGGCUCACCUAGGCGACGAUCCCUAGCUGGUCUGACAGGAGGACCGGACACACUAGAACUGAGACACGGUCCAGACUCCUACGGGCGGCAGCAGUGGGUAAUAUUGCACCAUGAGCGCAAGCCUGAUGCCGCCAUGCCGCGUGUAUGAAGAAGGCCUUCGGGUUGUAAAGUACUUUCAGCGUGGAGGCGUUACCCGCAGAAGAGGCACCGGCUAACUCCGUGCCAGCCGCCGCGGUGAUUC
RNAcentral lists this ribosomal RNA (406 nucleotides) under uncultured bacterium. RNAcentral describes it as "partial 16S ribosomal RNA". It matches the Rfam family "Bacterial small subunit ribosomal RNA", at positions 30 to 526 of the family's 1533-position model. The record is from RNAcentral.